CAGCCGUAAACUAUGCGCGUUAGGUGUACUGGUGACCACGAGUCACCGGGGUGCCGAAGGGAAACCGUGAAACGUGCCGCCUGGGAAGUACGGUCGCAAGGCUGAAACUUAAAGGAAUUGGCGGGGAGCACCACAACGGGUGGAGCCUGCGGUUUAAUUUGGACUCAACGCCGGAAAUCUCACCGGAUAGGACAGACAUAUGAUAGUCGGGCUGAAGACUCUACUUGAUGAUCUGAGAGGAGGUGCAUGGCGUCAGUGACU
Molecule: ribosomal RNA, 261 nt
Filed under: uncultured archaeon
Lineage: Archaea
Description: partial 16S ribosomal RNA
Rfam family: Archaeal small subunit ribosomal RNA
Source: RNAcentral